AUACGGAGGGUGCAAGCGUUAAUCGGAAUUACUGGGCGUAAAGCGUACGUAGGCGGCAAGUUAAGUUAGAUGUGAAAGCCCCGGGCUCAACCUGGGAACUGCAUUUAAAACUGGCUUGCUAGAGUUGAGUAGAGGGGAGUGGAAUUUCAGGUGUAGCGGUGAAACGCGUAGAGAUCUGAAGGAACACCAGUGGCGAAGGCGACUCCCUGGACUCGAACUGACGCUGAGGUACGAAAGCGUGGGUAGCAAACGGGAUUAGAAACCCUAGUAGUCC
This 274-nucleotide ribosomal RNA is filed under the name uncultured bacterium. RNAcentral describes it as "partial 16S ribosomal RNA". It matches the Rfam family "Bacterial small subunit ribosomal RNA", at positions 523 to 796 of the family's 1533-position model. The record is from RNAcentral.